Oxyura jamaicensis (ruddy duck) is the source of this 167-nucleotide long non-coding RNA. RefSeq lists it as uncharacterized. Lineage: Eukaryota; Metazoa; Chordata; Aves; Anseriformes; Anatidae. The transcript has 4 exons. The record is from RefSeq and is a predicted model, not a curated record.
AAGGGCUUUGGCUGCUCCGAUUCAGGCCCACUGGCCCCAUAAUACUGACAAAUCCUUUGCUUUGCCCAGAUGUCCACAGGGGAGCCCGCCACAGGUGUGCGUGCAGGACCACGGGGGUCCCCGAGCAGGUGGGGGGCACCCCACACGGCUCCAUGCCCCGGGGCGCC